Molecule: small nucleolar RNA, 101 nt
Filed under: Procavia capensis (Cape rock hyrax)
Lineage: Eukaryota; Metazoa; Chordata; Mammalia; Hyracoidea; Procaviidae
Description: Small nucleolar RNA U13 (ENSPCAG00000018957.1)
Rfam family: Small nucleolar RNA U13
Source: RNAcentral
AUCCUUCGGUUCAUAAGCGUGAUGAUUGGGUUUAUCAUACUUUUGUAUGACAUGUGCCUCCUUUAAUCUUGUUACGACGCGGGCACAUUACCCAUCUGACG